RNAcentral lists this ribosomal RNA (798 nucleotides) under uncultured archaeon. Its description in RNAcentral is "bacterial SSU rRNA". It matches the Rfam family "Archaeal small subunit ribosomal RNA", at positions 84 to 880 of the family's 1478-position model. The record is from RNAcentral.
UACUGCUCAGUAACACGUGGAUAACCUGCCCUUGGGUCCGGCAUAACCCCGGGAAACUGGGGAUAAUUCCGGAUAACGCACAUAUGCUGGAAUGCUUUAUGCGUCAAAUGGAUUCGUCUGCCCAAGGAUGGGUCUGCGGCCUAUCAGGUAGUAGUGGGUGUAAUGUACCUACUAGCCGACGACGGGUACGGGUUGUGAGAGCAAGAGCCCGGAGAUGGAUUCUGAGACAUGAAUCCAGGCCCUACGGGGCGCAGCAGGCGCGAAAACUUUACAAUGCGGGAAACCGUGAUAAGGGGACACCGAGUGCCAGCGUCAUACGCUGGCUGUCCAGGUGUGUAAAAUACACCUGUUAGCAAGGGCCGGGCAAGACCGGUGCCAGCCGCCGCGGUAACACCGGCGGCCCGAGUGGUGAUCGUGAUUAUUGGGUCUAAAGGGUCCGUAGCCGGUUUGGUCAGUCCUCCGGGAAAUCUGAUAGCUCAACUGUUAGGCUUUCGGGGGAUACUGCCAGACUUGGAACCGGGAGAGGUAAGAGGUACUACAGGGGUAGGAGUGAAAUCUUGUAAUCCCUGUGGGACCACCUGUGGCGAAGGCGUCUUACCAGAACGGGUUCGACGGUGAGGGACGAAAGCUGGGGGCACGAACCGGAUUAGAUACCCGGGUAGUCCCAGCCGUAAACGAUGCUCGCUAGGUGUCAGGCAUGGCGCGACCGUGUCUGGUGCCGCAGGGAAGCCGUGAAGCGAGCCACCUGGGAAGUACGGCCGCAAGGCUGAAACUUAAAGGAAUUGGCGGGGGAGCACA